This is a long non-coding RNA of Canis lupus familiaris (dog), 556 nucleotides long. RefSeq lists it as uncharacterized. NCBI's taxonomy places the organism in Eukaryota, Metazoa, Chordata, Mammalia, Carnivora, Canidae. The transcript has 3 exons. The record is from RefSeq and is a predicted model, not a curated record.
GGGCUGAGCUCCUUGGAAUUCUCAUACAAAGCUUGUCUCCUUCCUGCCUGGAGUGACAGACCCGUGGCUCCUGAGCUGACCCUGACCUGGCCCACAGGUCAACUGGGUGGCACCCAAGCAGGAGGAAAACUAUCCACACUGCCUGACCCCAGGAGGCCCACUAUCAGAGCUUGACUACAUUUCCCAGCCUCCCCUGCAGCCAGAUGUGGUCACGUGACUGAGUUGUGCCCAGUGGAAUGUGGGCAAAAUUGAUGAACACCACUUCCAGACCUGGCUGGGAAAACUUUCCACACAAUUCUGCACGCUCCCUGUCUCUUCCCCCAUCUGCUGAUUGAAUACAGAGGAUCCUAGUAGAAGAUUCCAAAGCCUGUAGCAGUUAGCAGGGCCGCAAGAUGGACAGUGCUGGGUACCUGAACCAUCACAUCAAUUGAAGACCAUCAACUGAAUAUCAGUAUUAAAUAGUCAUGUGAGGGCAGCCCGGGUGGUUCAGUGGUUUAGCGCCACCUUCAGCCCAGGGUGUGAUCCUGGAGACCCAGGAUUGAGUCCCAUGUCUGGC